RNAcentral lists this ribosomal RNA (840 nucleotides) under Caulobacter sp. AKB-2008-JO76. RNAcentral describes it as "bacterial SSU rRNA". It matches the Rfam family "Bacterial small subunit ribosomal RNA", at positions 8 to 895 of the family's 1533-position model. The record is from RNAcentral. Lineage: Bacteria; Pseudomonadati; Pseudomonadota; Alphaproteobacteria; Caulobacterales; Caulobacteraceae.
AGAGUUUGAUCCUGGCUCAGAGCGAACGCUGGCGGCAGGCCUAACACAUGCAAGUCGAACGGAUCCUUCGGGAUUAGUGGCGGACGGGUGAGUAACACGUGGGAACGUGCCCUUUGGUUCGGAACAACUCAGGGAAACUUGAGCUAAUACCGGAUGUGCCCUUCGGGGGAAAGAUUUAUCGCCAUUGGAGCGGCCCGCGUCUGAUUAGCUAGUUGGUGGGGUAAAGGCCCACCAAGGCGACGAUCAGUAGCUGGUCUGAGAGGAUGAUCAGCCACAUUGGGACUGAGACACGGCCCAAACUCCUACGGGAGGCAGCAGUGGGGAAUCUUGCGCAAUGGGCGAAAGCCUGACGCAGCCAUGCCGCGUGAAUGAUGAAGGUCUUAGGAUUGUAAAAUUCUUUCACCGGGGACGAUAAUGACGGUACCCGGAGAAGAAGCCCCGGCUAACUUCGUGCCAGCAGCCGCGGUAAUACGAAGGGGGCUAGCGUUGCUCGGAAUUACUGGGCGUAAAGGGAGCGUAGGCGGACUGUUUAGUCAGAGGUGAAAGCCCAGGGCUCAACCUUGGAAUUGCCUUUGAUACUGGCAGUCUUGAGUACGGAAGAGGUAUGUGGAACUCCGAGUGUAGAGGUGAAAUUCGUAGAUAUUCGGAAGAACACCAGUGGCGAAGGCGACAUACUGGUCCGUUACUGACGCUGAGGCUCGAAAGCGUGGGGAGCAAACAGGAUUAGAUACCCUGGUAGUCCACGCCGUAAACGAUGAGUGCUAGUUGUCGGCAUGCAUGCAUGUCGGUGACGCAGCUAACGCAUUAAGCACUCCGCCUGGGGAGUACGGUCGCAAGAUU